GACGAACGCUGGCGGCGUGCUUAACACAUGCAAGUCGAACGCUGAAGCUCAGCUUUUGUUGGGUGGAUGAGUGGCGAACGGGUGAGUAACACGUGAGUAACCUGCCCCCUUCUUUGGGAUAACGCCCGGAAACGGGUGCUAAUACUGGAUAUUCACUGGUCUUCGCAUGGGGGUUGGUGGAAAGGGUUUUUCUGGUGGGGGAUGGGCUCGCGGCCUAUCAGCUUGUUGGUGGGGUGAUGGCCUACCAAGGCUUUGACGGGUAGCCGGCCUGAGAGGGUGACCGGUCACAUUGGGACUGAGAUACGGCCCAGACUACUACGGGAGGCAGCAGUGGGGAAUAUUGCACAAUGGGCGCAAGCCUGAUGCAGCGACGCAGCGUGAGGGAUGGAGGCCUUCGGGUUGUGAACCUCUUUCGCUCAUGGUCAAGCCGCAACAAUGGUUGUGGUGAGGGUAGUGGGUAAAGAAGCGCCGGCUAACUACGUG
RNAcentral lists this ribosomal RNA (483 nucleotides) under uncultured bacterium. Its description in RNAcentral is "partial 16S ribosomal RNA". It matches the Rfam family "Bacterial small subunit ribosomal RNA", at positions 28 to 507 of the family's 1533-position model. The record is from RNAcentral.